AUCCAGCUGACGAAUCCCAAACAGGACGAAAUGCGCGUCUUGGAU
This 45-nucleotide non-coding RNA is filed under the name Schistosoma mansoni. Lineage: Eukaryota; Metazoa; Platyhelminthes; Trematoda; Strigeidida; Schistosomatidae. The record is from RNAcentral.